GAUGAACGCUGGCGGCGUGCCUAAUACAUGCAAGUCGAACGGAGAUGUAGCAAUACGUCUUAGUGGCGAACGGGUGAGUAACGCGUUGGUGACCUGCCCCAAAGUGUGGGAUAACAGUCCGAAAGGAUUGCUAAUACCGCAUGUGGUCUUCGGAAUUAGAAACCGAUUUCUAAAGGAGUAAUCCGCUUUGGGAGGGGCCUGCGUCCCAUCAGCUAGUUGGUAGGGUAAUGGCCUACCAAGGCGUCGACGGGUAAGGGGCCUGAGAGGGUGGCCCCUCACAAUGGAACUGAAACACGGUCCAUACACCUACGGGUGGCAG
This 319-nucleotide ribosomal RNA is filed under the name uncultured Chloroflexota bacterium. RNAcentral's name for it is "bacterial SSU rRNA". It matches the Rfam family "Bacterial small subunit ribosomal RNA", at positions 28 to 351 of the family's 1533-position model. Lineage: Bacteria; Bacillati; Chloroflexota. The record is from RNAcentral.